Molecule: long non-coding RNA, 587 nt
Organism: Haliotis rufescens (red abalone)
Lineage: Eukaryota; Metazoa; Mollusca; Gastropoda; Lepetellida; Haliotidae
Exons: 3
Source: RefSeq, a predicted model, not a curated record
CACCACCGACUCCACCACCGACCACAGCACCACCGACCCCACCACCGACCACAGCACCACCGACUCCACCACCGACCACAGCACCACCGACCCCACCACCAACCACAGCACCACCGACCCCACCACCAGCAGAAUCAACAAUGCCGACAGUCGCGGAUAAAACCUUCUUAACUGGGUGCACACAACGAUGUGUCCGCAGCGACCUAGUGGCUUCACUGUGUGGUACUGGGACGCUGGCGACGAAAUGUGACAAUCUUCUAGUUGCAGAGUAUGUGGGCUCGUAUACCUGCUGUUCAGGUUAAUACAGCGGACGUCGGAACAUCUGCAGUGCAUACGGAACUCGGUGAAAUAGUGUCUUGGUAUGGAGGGGAAUCCAAGUUCAACCCCUAUGUGUGGUAGAUCGAUUACAAUGGUUAACAGGGCAUCAGUUGCCCUUGGUAACAGUUUACUUAAGAUUCUCUGCGAAGGUACUGUCAAUAUUAAUAGUAUGCACAAUUAUCAAUUAUCACGGUUGUACACAAAAUGUUACAUAUCAGUUGGAUAUAGAUUCUUCUCCUUCCUAUACCUAAAUGCAAAUAAACUGAUGU